This 65-nucleotide transfer RNA is filed under the name Heterocypris spadix. RNAcentral describes it as "tRNA-Met". Lineage: Eukaryota; Metazoa; Arthropoda; Ostracoda; Podocopida; Cyprididae. The record is from RNAcentral.
AAAAGGGUAAGCUAACAAUAAGCUUUUGGGCUCAUAUCCCAAAUAUGGAGGUACUCCCUCUUUUA